Molecule: long non-coding RNA, 4730 nt
Organism: Dermacentor andersoni
Lineage: Eukaryota; Metazoa; Arthropoda; Arachnida; Ixodida; Ixodidae
Source: RefSeq, a predicted model, not a curated record
UCAUUUGUUCUUCCACAGAUCGCCUUUGACCUCGUGGUUAGUGCAUUCUCGCUCAUGGAGUUACCCAAUGCUGUACAAAGGCUCGAAACAGUGGCCAGCCUGUGGGGCAAGACUAACGGCCUACUGGUUCUUGUUGAAAAUGGGACACAAGCUGGACAUAAGGCCGUUGCUGAAGCGCGUGACUUCAUACUGAUGAUCAGCAAGGAUGGCGGUCAAGAACCUGCUCAAGUGUUGGCAGUUGGAAAGUUGGCUUCGGCCUUCGUACAUGUUUUUCGUUUUCCGAGUCUCACUAGACAUCAGUGAGAAGCUGUAACAACUGUACCAGUAAGAAGACUGCGAAGAGAACUAUCACCGUUCAGAACUAGCAGCUGUUUAAUUUCGGAGUAGUACUGUAGAAUGUCAUUAAUAAGACCUUGUUACGUAAAAUUUCCUGGUGCCAUUGUUCGUGCUCGAACAUAAAUAAUGACCCAGUAGAGUUAUUCUUAUAUUUUACUGGUUCAUAUGUUCCAAGAAAACACAAUCUUUCCACACCAACGUUCAGUACAUUGCCAAACUCUAGUUGCAUGCUACGUUUUCAGGCUGCUAAAUCCAGAGUAAACAAGAAAAUGCGUGAGGCGCACGCAAUCAAGAACAGUAGCCACCUGCCGCAGCUACACUUCUCGUGUGAUAACAUUGACACACAUUCACUUUCUUUAUCUGGCACCAGCAAAUCGCCUCCCAAAUCGUUGUAUGAACAGUCACAGCUAUUGCCGGGAACCAUAUCUUGAUAAGCAUCUUAGCAUAUAUCUAUUUCACACUGUGUGGUGCCAUUGGAAGCAUACUGCACACUCUUAAUAGGCAAUAACUCAAAUGCGGAUCAUAUAAUAUGUUUUCUGGCCGCUAGAUCCCAUGUAAACAAGAAAAGGCGUGAAGCGCAAGUGGUUGAGAAAUGAAGUGGCCCACCACAUCCAUUUCUCCACAAUAUUCACCUACCUGUCUCCCAUGAAAAUGCUGGCGUGCACACAGUUUUUUAUUCGCGUACCAGCAAAUCUCCUCCCAGGUCGUCGCAUGGCGCAUUCAUUGUUAUCGCCGCCGAACCUAUUACUGUAAGCACCUUCAUCUAUCUGUUUUGCAGGGUGUAGGGCGUUGUGAUUUUGGAAGUGUGCUGCACGCUUUUAGCAGGAAGUGAUAAACCAAAUGCAUCUCCGUUCCCUGCUGUAUGCAGCACGUUGGGAGCGUCCCAUUUUGCUCCAGUGGGAUCCGGUGUUGCCCACCCAGCUCGAUCUCAUUUCUAUUUCCCGUUGGCGUCUUAUAGCAUCAUACAAUAAGAAAACAAAAAAACGGGUCAUGGGCUGCUGUAGCCCUACUAGCUUGAUUUGUGUCAGCGGCUUGUGCCUUAUGCCACAAUGAAUGCACAACACUUUACAUUACGAAGAGCUGGUACAGUUGGGUGUCAAAUAGUUUACAGUGGAACCCCGAUUAUAUGACUUUCUCCGGACUGCGAAAAAGCGUCGUAAAAUGCGGGUGUCUUAAAAUCCGAACAUAAUUUAUACUUAUAAAAAUACUACUUAUUUCGCAUGACGGAUUUACGAGAAACUUCAAUGUAACCUAUUACUCUGCAUGGCUUGGAAACCCAAAUUACCGAAAGAGUAAAUGCGAUAAGAAAUAAUGCUGCAGUACAGGUACCUAUCAUGCUUUAUUCAAACAAACCUUUACGGCACUUCACUGUCCACUGCAACAAUUCCCACCAGCCGGCAUGAACUUUUAAAAACGUCGGUAAGUUUCUUUUGAACCUUGUUUGAUCCAUGAACCAAGAGCUUUCUCUCGAGCUAGGUAAUGUCAAAAACGAGGUCCUCUGCGCCGUCGCGUGAAACGACGAAGUAUCAGAUGCUGUCUAUGUGCCGUAGCGCCUCGGCGAACGUGGUAGGCACAGGCACGGCAUCUGUGGCGUUGUCGUUGUCCUCGUCUGAUGUCGCAGCGGUGUCGGCACUAGGCAAAGCCUCCUCGAUCGCGUCGUCCAGCGACACCUCGCCGCAGAUCGCAACGUUGUCGUUGGCCUCCACGUACUUGGUGAAGGUCGUGGUGAGGUUCAAACCCUUGAUUGGCGGCGGUGAAGCCUGCAUCGGCCUUGAGUUGCAUCGAGGUUGUUGCGUCCCCAGCAGAGGAGGCAGUCUCUUGCUUAAAGCCACAGUGCUUGAACGAGUUAGCGAUUGUGCUUCAUGACACUGCGUUCCAUGAACUGGCAAUAAAAUGCAUGGCGUCGAGCACAGUGAUCUUUUUUUUCUGACUCACUGCACUCCGUAGCCGCCAGCCGACGCUGCAGUAACCGCUUCCAGUACCCUUGCUCGACACACUUAUGCUUGCAUCCAGCGGCUGCAGCUGGCUUGUGCAGUUGGGUGGAAAAAAGAACAGUCUUUAUGUUCCUCAGGCUGGACGUGUCGGGUGGUUGGCAUGGUGCGUUGUCCACGAAAAGCAGUAUUUUCCUUACCUUAGCCCCCAUUUUGUUAUCCAGCUGCUGCAAAGAAAUUGCUGAAGAGUGAAGAUGUCACCGACGCCUUUUUGUUGAAGUUGUAGCUGCAUGACAGCGUCUUCAAGUUCUUAACGCACCGUGGCUUUGCAAACUUUCCAACAAUGAGCACGGGCAGCCUCUCGGAACCGUCCUUGUUAGCACAGAAUGGUGCAGUCACAUGCUCUCAUGCAUUUUUCCGCAAAGUUCGGGAAUUUAUACUACUAGUGGAUCCACCUUGCGAACUCCACGGCUAGAAUUUGUAAAUUGCAAUGUGCGUCAUACGAUAAUUAGCCCAAAAGGUAAUUAUAUAAUUCUUCCUAAUUAGCCAAUUUUGCAUUUAAAUUUUUUUUGCAAGUAGUGUCCACCGCUUCGAGUAGACCGGCUCAUAAAGUGGAAUUCAGCUAUCUGCCACAGCACAAUGCGUUGGUGGGCUAAUUGGUGAUAAUCCAUAAUUUGUUUAGCGCAAAACAACGGACACAAGUAAGACGAUAGGAAGAGGAGCAACUAUCAACUGAUUGUGUCGUGCUUCACUUUUGAGCAGCACUGACGCGAUUGCACAGUAAUAACAAACUUUGCCAAUCGGCUACAGAUUAUUGCUAUAAUACUCCAAGUGUUCCAAAAAGGCAUAUUUUCCCCCCUCCAAAACUGCGCCAAAAUGCAGGUGUGGCUUCUCAUAAACUGCUCUAGAAGAUUUAUCCAACGCCUAAAACUGCUAUAAAUCCUCAACUGUCUGGACAAUCACUAUUGGUGGCUUGCAAAAGGGACAGAUUGCAUGGUGGGCUAGUUUGUGCGGCAUUAUUUACACAGUAGCUCAGAAGGACGGCGGUGCAGUUGCAUCAGCGAGCGAUUACGUGAGCACUGGCAUAUCAUUGAGAAACUAGCCUUAUCACGCCACGUUGUCGCGCAUUGCGCACAAUGCGUAUGCAACCCCCGUUUGACCGCACUCAUUUGCUAGCCACAAACAAUGACCAGCUCAACAGAGAAACUGAAUAAGCUGCCGAGAUUAGGAAAAUAAAUAGUGUAAGUUGCCCGUUAGUCUCCUUAUCAGAGAAAGAAAUGUUGCUGCCAUUUUUUCUGGUCCUUGAGAACACGCGUCAGCGCGUAGCGGGUUGCUCCCACGUCGGUACAGAAAGGCCGAGCCUCUCUGCUGAGUCGUGGGCCAAAUGGUCAGCCCGUAGCUGUGCUUCAAUAUUAGGGCUCCUUAGGGCAGCUUUCCAUUCGGACGACCAAAGCCGCCCCCGUCGCAUAACUCUUCGCACUGCCAGAGCAUGUGUUCUAAGUUAGCUACGUCUGAGCAUAGCUCGCAAAUAUUGGUUGAUCGUAUCUCGGGAUAGAUUCUGUGUAACAAAGCAACAUUAGGGUAUGCCCCGACCUCGAGUAACCAGAGCAUUGGAGCCUAUGGUCUGCAUAGUUUCCUAUGUGGCAGAGGUUAUCUUUGUGCCAUGCAAAAAUCUUUGGCAUGUUCGUUAUAUGAAGAGGGAGGGUCCCAAUUGUCCAUCAGCUCAGCGCCGUGCCACACGGUAGCGACACAGUCGACGACUCCUCGCGCAGCUCUGUGGGCCGAUUCGUUGAGGUUUGGCCAGAGGUUGUCGGUCAGAGGUUGUCGAGACUGGAGGCUUGCCCAGCUUGGGGAUGAGUAUGGUGGUAGCCUUUUUCCACAUCUCCGGUGCUCUUCAUUGUUUCCACAUCUGGUCAAUGACGUCCAUCAGGCACUCCACCGACUUUGUCAAGUUCCUCGAUGCCCUGUUUGUAACUCUAUCCGAACCCGACGGUUGUAAAUUAAGUUGUUUCUCUUUGUCUUGUUGCGUUAGCCACCUCCAGUUGAACUUGCUGGGCUGAUUGGUUUAUGCAUCUUCCUUCUCACUUCCUUAUGUUCUGCGACAUUAUAUAUAUAUAGCUGUGUCCCAUCUAUUUCGCCCUCCGUGUGCACGUUUCAUGUGACCUCAUAGAAUUGUCCGCUUGGACGGAUUUUCUUUUACCGUAUUUACUCGAAUCUAGGCCGACCCCGAUUCUAAGCUGACCCCCUAAAGUCUGAAGCCAACAAAAAAAUAUAUAACCUCGAAUGUAGGCCGAACAAAAUAAGCGAGGACAGCGUUCACAAAAUGCAAACAGUGCGGAACUCAUUCAACACAUUAGGUUAGGGGAGUUGACUUUGGCAUCACUCGGGGAGGCGCUGCUGCACAGCCCCCAUAGUUGGAGCCUAUGGUGAAAUGAUUAUGAUUUAUUUACAUAUGAGGGAUGG